GACGAACGCUGGCGGCGUGCUUAACACAUGCAAGUCGAACGGAAAGGCCCUGCUUGCAGUGUACUCGAGUGGCGAACGGGUGAGUAACACGUGGGUGAUCUGCCCUGCACUUCGGGUUAAGCCUGGGAGACUGGGCCGAAUACCGGCUAGGAGCCAUUUUUAGUGUGAUGGUUGGAAAGUUUUUUCGGUGUAGGGUGAGCUGGCGGCCUAUCAGCUUGUUGGUGGGGUAAUGGCCUACCGAGGCGGCUACGGGUAGCCGGCCUGAGUGGGUGGACGGCCACCUUGGGACUGAGGUGAGGCCCAGACUGCUACGGGAGGGAGCAGUGGGGAAGAUUGAAGGAGGGGCGCAAGCCUGAUGCAGCGGCGCCGCGUGGCGGAUGACGGCCUUCGGGUUGUAAACUCCUUGCGCUAGGGACGAAGCUUUUUGUGACGGUACCUAGAUAAGAAGCACCGGCUAACUACGUG
RNAcentral lists this ribosomal RNA (465 nucleotides) under uncultured bacterium. RNAcentral's name for it is "partial 16S ribosomal RNA". It matches the Rfam family "Bacterial small subunit ribosomal RNA", at positions 28 to 507 of the family's 1533-position model. The record is from RNAcentral.